CCAGAGCCCCGUGGGCUGGAACGCGCCGGAAUCUGAGGUGUGAGUAGAGCCUGGGGGAGAGUGGAUCCAGGUGAAGGGGGCAGAGGACUGGGAGUUUUCAUCCUCUUGAAUAAGAACUCGACAACAGAGUGGGAACUUUCUGUCUUGUGAUCCAUUGCCUGGUGAGUCACAGCUCACACCAUGGAUUUAACCUGAGAGCUUCAACUUCUGCUUUGGCCCUGGAGUUCCCAUGCCCUGGUGUCUUCUACCAGUUCUUAGGUUCUCUGUCAUUUUUUUAUUCUUCGGUGCUGUGAUCAUCACAUCAGUUCUGUUGCUUUUCCCGCGAGCUGGUGAAUUCCCAGCCCCAGAAGUGGAAGUUA
This 359-nucleotide long non-coding RNA is filed under the name Homo sapiens (human). Its description in RNAcentral is "HSALNT0182814". The record is from RNAcentral. Lineage: Eukaryota; Metazoa; Chordata; Mammalia; Primates; Hominidae.